UUUUGAUUUUGUAACAAUUAACUUCUAGAUUGGACAAUAAACUGCAAAACAUUUGGCACUGCCUUUAAGGAAUGAAAGUUUUGCCAGUAUAAGCUAGAUGAAAUUUGCCUCAUGGACUGGAUGAAGUGCCCACCCUGUGAAGAGAGCCAGCACUCAGUUCAUGUGGAUGGGAAUAUGAAAUUGUAUUGUUUCAAAUCAGCUGGAAUGUUAUCUGGGGUGGCAGAUGGCAGCCUGUGCUUCAGCAACCACUGGUGAGGAGGUGGAGCAAAUAAAAUUAAUUGUCAUUUUUCAUGGCUUGGUACCAGUAAGCAUAUUCUGGAGGGCAAUUUGUUUUAAGGAUGAAAGUGCCUGGUGAGAAGAGUUGCUAACAGAGCAUGCCCUCCAGUGGGACAGGAAAAAAAUUGAAAAGCUUCCCCUCUCCCGGUUAAGCGAUAUUCUAAGACAAAGAUUCAGCUUUCCAAUGCCAAAGAGGAAUUAUUUUAGCAUUUGAAAGAACUCCACAUUCCAGUUGAUGUAUUAACUGUCUGGCAGAAGGAGAUCUUCCAUGCCGCCCAAGAAAGAGAAUUCCCAGAAGUCUAGGAAAGUUGCUGUAUCGAAGGAAGAAGAAGAGUUUUUUCUCAAAGUUGUCGGUGUGAAAAUUGUAAAUUUAACAGAAAAACACCAAAACCUGUGUAGGGUUGCUAAGCAGAUGUAUGGUCAGCAUAUGUACAACCAGAUACUGUCAAGAUGUGCUGAUUCAAAGAUGGGAAGGUACUUCUUCUGACGAAGGUGGCUAGGGGGAAAUUAUUCUGUUCGAGAUUACUUCUUCUCGAUUUCUCAGACAUCCAGUGCUCUAACUUGGAUGAAGGCGAUACAAAAGCUGCAGAGCGUUCAUCCGAGAAAGUGAGAUGUGCUUUUUUGGAUUUGCAGCUUCGGAUGUUCGGCUAUGUCACUUCGCGGAUUUCCGAGAAUCUUUGGUUAUGAUUUACGAGCUAUUAAAUAUUCCAUCUCAGUCCCUCUCGACCGAGGUGAUUUUGGUGGAUGGAAUCUAAUGCUGACCGGUGUGCGCACUCUGAUUACGUUGCAUCAUGGGCGUAAAACGAAAAACGAGUCAUUUACAUCCUGUCGCGGUCCAGUGAACAUCUCUGUUGGUAGCAAGAUAGCGUGAAUAAACGUGGAAUGUAAUGGUGAUUCACUGUCUGUUGCCGUUUCUUCGAAAGUUAAAUAGUGUUUGCGGGCCUACGCGACUCCUGUCAUUCCUCCGUGACAAAUUCGUUAUUAGGAAGCAGCUGAGGAGAUUCAGAAAGAAUCGAAACUGCAGCCUUGCCCAAGAAUCUAUUCAUCUCACAGCCGAUGGCUUUGUGAAUAAUAUCAAAUUCGCGAGUUAUAUAACGGGGAAUCGACCUUUGACUUGGAAACGUAUUACAAAGAGACAGCGACCUUCUCUAAUACACGAACUAUUUUUUCGUGUCAUAUUCUCUAAGGCGUAAAUACGGGAUUCGCGAAAGGAAAAGCCUUACGCCUCCCAAGACCAAAUUCGUCACGCUCAACGUUAAUUAAAAACGUACAGAGUUUCAAAUAUGCUUAAAAAAGUGAGAAUACCCAGAGUAAGGUUUUGAGAAACCUACCUCUAGCGAUAUUUUCUGCGGGAGAGACAGUAUACUUGUAAACAAAAAAAUAGCGCGCACAUAUGAAAAUAUUACCUUCUGUAACACGAUCCCACUCGGCUUUUCUAAACCUCAAGAGCAUACAGAUGGGGAAAUGACACCUUAAAACUAACCCUUAUUAUCACAUCGCAAACGAAAGACAUUAAAAGAUAUUUUAAUAACUUCCGGCUUAUGCGGCGUGUCACCGUGUGUAUUGUAGAGUUAUUCAUAGGUCAAGUGACUCCUUCUCUAAUUCAACUAUCCUUCAUUCAGUGAUCAAG
Molecule: non-coding RNA, 1906 nt
Organism: Pocillopora verrucosa
Lineage: Eukaryota; Metazoa; Cnidaria; Anthozoa; Scleractinia; Pocilloporidae
Source: RefSeq, a predicted model, not a curated record